GACGAACGCUGGCGGCGUGCUUAACACAUGCAAGUCGAACGGAAAGGCCCUGCUUUUGUGGGGUGCUCGAGUGGCGAACGGGUGAGUAACACGUGAGUAACCUGCCCUUGACUUUGGGAUAACUUCAGGAAACUGGGGCUAAUACCGGAUAGGAGCUCCUGCUGCAUGGUGGGGGUUGGAAAGUUUCGGCGGUUGGGGAUGGACUCGCGGCUUAUCAGCUUGUUGGUGGGGUAGUGGCUUACCAAGGCUUUGACGGGUAGCCGGCCUGAGAGGGUGACCGGCCACAGUGGGACUGAGAUACGGCCCAGACUCCUACGGGAGGCAGCAGUGGGGAAUAUUGCACAAUGGGCGGAAGCCUGAUGAAGCAACGCCGCGUGCGGGAUGACGGCCUUCGGGUUGUAAACCGCUUUCGCCUGUGACGAAGCGUGAGUGACGGUAAUGGGUAAAGAAGCACCGGCUAACUACGUG
Molecule: ribosomal RNA, 468 nt
Filed under: uncultured bacterium
Lineage: Bacteria
Description: partial 16S ribosomal RNA
Rfam family: Bacterial small subunit ribosomal RNA
Source: RNAcentral